CCUGGGAACUGCAUUUCGAACUGGCAAACUAGAGUGUGAUAGAGGGUGGUAGAAUUUCAGGUGUAGCGGUGAAAUGCGUAGAGAUCUGAAGGAAUACCGAUGGCGAAGGCAGCCACCUGGGUCAACACUGACGCUCAUGUACGAAAGCGUGGGGAGCAAACGGGAUUAGAUACCCCGGUAGUCCACGCCGUAAACGAUGUCUACUAGAAGCUCGGAACCUCGGUUCUGUUUUUCAAAGCUAACGCAUUAAGUAGACCGCCUGGGGAGUACGGCCGCAAGGUUAAAACUCAAAUGAAUUGACGGGGGCCCGCACAAGCGGUGGAGCAUGUGGUUUAAUUCGAUGCAACGCGAAGAACCUUACCUACACUUGACAUACAGAGAACUU
Molecule: ribosomal RNA, 385 nt
Filed under: Pseudoalteromonas sp.
Lineage: Bacteria; Pseudomonadati; Pseudomonadota; Gammaproteobacteria; Alteromonadales; Pseudoalteromonadaceae
Description: bacterial SSU rRNA
Rfam family: Bacterial small subunit ribosomal RNA
Source: RNAcentral